GUAUCAAAGGAUUUACAAGUUUUAAAUAUUGAUGCGGACUUAGUGCUUAACAAAGCUAAAUAACCAAAAAUGAUCCAUAUAACUAACCCUAACUAAUUGGGGAUUAAGGCUUAGAUGUUGAUGUUGUUUGCUUAUGUUUAUAGAACUUUGAUGACUAUUUCAUAUUGCUUUUUUAUUGCCUUCAUUAUAGAAAGAGUUAUCCUUCAACCAGGGAAGCUGUACUGCUUUACAUUUAAAUGGAACUGCGCAUUAAUUUUGCAUGAAAUAAUCCAUUCCCUUCCCCUCAACUAAAAAAAAGGGAAUUAUGACAUAUUACUGAAGAUCAUGAAGUAGGUAUGAAUUUGAGUUUUAUUUUGAUCACUGCAUGUCUGCAUCCAUGUGUUUUUGGCUUUAUAUCUUCAGUGUCAGAUAAUUUGAUUAGUUUAUGGAACAUUAGAAAAUGAGUUUUGAGGUGUAACAAGCCUAUUCUUGAUCAGCGUGAUGUAGCAGUUUCAGACCCAAAUGGAUUUCAGGUUCUAAGCUGUUUGAACUUCUUCUUGAGCCUACUAGUAGCAUGAGUGAGGUUAAUGGCAUAAGCUGUCUUUCAAAGUACUAAUU
RNAcentral lists this unclassified non-coding RNA (597 nucleotides) under Hevea brasiliensis (rubber tree). The record is from RNAcentral. Lineage: Eukaryota; Viridiplantae; Streptophyta; Magnoliopsida; Malpighiales; Euphorbiaceae.